UUAGCUGGCGGCGGCUACCAUGCAGUCGAGCGGUGGACGGUAGCUUGCUACCGCACCUAACGACGGACGGAUGAGUGAUGCUUGUCAGUCUGCCUGUUAGAGGGGGACAACUUCUCACAGGGGAUGCUAAUACCGCACACAUCCUACCGCAGAAAGCAAGGGAUCUUCCGACCUUGCUCUAGUAAAUGAACCUGCCUCGGAUUAACUAGUUGGUGGGGUAAAGACCUACCCAGGUAACCAUCUGUACCGGGUCUGACAGGAUGAACCACCACACUGGGACUGACUGACAGCCCAUACUCCUACCUGAGGCAGCAAUGGGGAAUAUUGAUUGAUGAAUGGAACCCUGAUCCAUGCAUGCAUGGUGUGUGAAUAAGGCCUUAUGGUUGUAUGGCACUUUAUUUGAGGAGGAAGCUACUCUAGUUAAUACCUAACCUUGUCGAUUGUUACUCGCGAAUAAGAACCGGCUAACUCUGUGCCAGCAGCCGCGGUAAUACACAGGGUGCGAGCGUUAAUCGCAUUUACUGGGCGUAAAGCGUGCAUACGCGGCUUAUUAAGUCGCAUGUGAAAUCCCCCAGCUUUCUUGUGAAUUGCAUUCUAUACUGUGGAGCUAUAGUAUGGUAGAGAAUGGUAGAAAUCUCCGUGUGUCGCUGAGAUGCGUAUAGAUCUGUAGGAGUACAGAUGUGGAGAGCGCCCCUCUGUGCUAAUACAGACACUGACGUACGAAAGCGUGUGGAGAGCACACGAUAAUAUACACUGUGUAGACUCUGCCGUAUACGAUGUCUACUAUUGCGAUGUGUGCUCUGAGAGGUUUAGUGUUCGCAGCUAACGCGAUAAAUAUCACCGCCUGGGGGAGAAUACGUCGCGAGAGUAAAACUCAAAUGUAAUUUGACGGGGGCCCCACACAGCCGUGGAAACAUGUGUGUUUAAUUUCCAUGCCACGCGGAAAAACCCUAACCUGCUCUGAACUACUACAAACCUUUCCAGAAAAUGGAUUUGGUGCCUUCAGAGAUCUAGUGAUACAAGUGCUGCAAUGGCUGUCGUCACUCGUGUCUGGAAUGUUGGGUUAAGUCCCGCAACGAGCGCAACCUAUCUUACGUGCAGCAGUUCCGAUCGACCUCAUGAUACUGCAUGGACUAACUGAGAAGCGUGAUACGUCAGUCAUCUGUCCUUACGCAGCUACCAGGUGUCUACAUGUCGUUACAAGGAUGGCUACCUA
RNAcentral lists this ribosomal RNA (1216 nucleotides) under uncultured bacterium. RNAcentral's name for it is "bacterial SSU rRNA". It matches the Rfam family "Bacterial small subunit ribosomal RNA", at positions 30 to 1243 of the family's 1533-position model. The record is from RNAcentral.